AUCACUCCCAUCCACUUCUUGGCCACGCACGUCGUUUUGGAUAUUUUGGAGACUUCUGCCUGGGAGCCACGAUCUGCAUCUGCCACAGUGAGAGACACUUUGGAAAUACUCCUCUCGAAGGAAGACGAAACGUGCAAAGCUUGUAAUUCAGCAAUGAAAUGUCAAGUGAGGGCUGACUGCUCGUCCUUUUUCUGAACAGAAAAUUAUAGAACAUGUGUCAAUGUUGGACUGUGAAAAAAGGCCUUGGAGCUGAAGGAAGUCUUGUUUCAUCCUUUCAGCUUAAAAGCAGAUGCAGAGAGAAAUGCACAGCUGCUUCAACUGGGACAUUGUUUACUCUUAUAUUCGUGUUCAAGCUUUACAACUGCCUGUCGCAGCUAAUUAGUCCAAGAAAAGUAUUUUCUCGGAGGCCAAUCAUAUUAGACAGUGAUAGUGUACUAACAUCAUACUGCUUUAACUAUAUAACUGUUCUAUCACUUAAAUUGGUCACGCUAUACAUCACAUGGACUUUACAUAACAUGGUCAUGUGUAAGAGACAAAUGCGAUGUCUCUGGACAGAGUUUAUUCACAUGGCGAACGUGCAUGACACCAACGUGUGUCCCUCCUCCUCGCUGUGGCUCCGCGGGGAUGGAACCAUUAAAGGUGGUGCUGGUGUUUACUCCUGGCAAAUACAGAGGUAUAGAGACUCUGGUUUCCAUGGAGACACCAAUCGGUGUCUGCACAGAGAGCAAUUCAGGUGUUGAAUGAGGUCAGCCGAGUCUGGGUGUUCGGAGCAGAUGUGGGAGAAUCGUGCAGCAGAUUAAUGUCUCCUUUCUUCUGGUUGAGCUGCGCCAGUGAGGAGUCGUAAAGAAGAGGAACAUGAGCUACACAGAGAUUCUAGCGCAAAAGCAGGAUUCUUCAUGCAAGAUGCUCUGCCACUUGUUUAAAACUGCCAUAGAAGUUCAUCUUUAAUAAAUGUAUAACCCUAAUUGCUCCUUAAUUAAAGAAUUGGGCCUUGUGAGGGCAAAUGUUUACAGAGAGCAUGAUCUGAAGAGUUUUAUAAUUAUUUCGUCAAUGGGUGCGGCUGAAUGUGGCCCCAGGUUGUUUUGAUUUGGGAGUGUUCAGCUUCCAGGGGAGGAUCUCUGCUCAGGAUGCUUGUAGCAUUACGCUCACACAGGCCUGUGACUUUAAAACCAGAUGAGAGGGGGCCUCUGCUUUCAGGCAACAACAAACCGUGGCAGAUGAUUACACGUCUUUACAGCUACUCACUCACCUUGAUGUUGAGAGCUGCUGCACUUUGCUGAUCACAGCGUCUGGAUCCUGUCCAGCUCCAGUGCUGGACUGAAGAGUGGAGAAGCCCUCAAGUUAAGUGCUGCUCUGUCGACGCACUUCAUCCGUCGAAACAUCCAGACGUUUUACACACUCCAUAAACGUGUCCUCCUGAAUUGAAUUUACUGCUGCAUAUAUCCCCAUAUUUUAUAUUUUAGGUGUUAUUUGACAGCAUUUUAUAUAAUACAGAAAAGUAUGGGUGCAGAGGGUUUGCAUGGAGCAGUUGCGCGCACGCGGCCACAGAACCUUUGGCAAAAUAGGAUUAUCUUAUAUUCAUGUAAGACUCUUCUUAGGGUUGUGGGACGAUAAGCAGGGCCGGAGGUCAAAGGUUAAAUCUGCCUAUAUGUCACAGGUCACCGGUAUUUAAAGUUUGCACACUUUGACCUAUUUGUCUAUCCUUCAAGAAUCCUAAACAUUUACACUUAAGAUGCUUGGACUCUGCUCUCAGCGCUGAUGAGAGUCAUGAGCUACCUUCCAGUGCGGGUGGAAAGAAUGCAAAAUAUUCUAUUUGUUCCUUUUGGUCUGUUUUAGUGUGGUUUCAGUGGCUCUUUCUUUAAUCUAAGUUUAACUUUCACUUUUAAUACACUAUCCAUUUAGUGAUAACACUCUUUAUUAUUAGUUUUGAAUAUAGUAUUAUUGUGAUUUAAUGAUGGUAAGGCUUAUUUAUGGCUUCUUAUAGUCUUGGUACAGGCAACAAAUCCCAGUAAAGCGUGAAACCAUCAAGUAUCGUCUCUCAUAACUUCUCUAUGAAGCGCUCAGCCCCAACUCCACUGUUUCCUGCUGAAGAAACAUAUUCAAAUGGCACCCCACUCCAUAAUUCUACCCCCUCCGUAUUUAACUGUUGACAAGAGACACUCAUUUUUAUAUCUUUCCCCCACCCUCCGUCGAACAUACACUCUUCGCUUGUCGCCAAACUGUUCAAAUUUGGACUCAUCAGUCACCACUUUAUACCAAUCUUCCUUUGUCCAUUUCUUGUGUUCUUUUGCAAAUUUCAGGCGAUUCACUCUAUUUUUCUCUCUCAGUAAUGUUUUUUUUGCUGCUACUCUGCAAACAAGUCCUUCCUCUCCCAGUUUCCUUCGCACAGUUCUUGAAGACACUGUUGCAACAUCACUCAUUGUGGUGUUGAUCUCAUCACGCAGUUCUCGUGAGGUCUUUCUUCGAUCCUUAAGACGAUUUUGAAAUGCUUCACUUUUCUGUCAGAAAGUUUCUUUUUUCUAAUUCUCCCCUUUCAGUUCUGGUGUGAAUUGUAGGCAUCAACAUUCUGGUGAGGCAAGGAGUACCAUCUGGGAGUCGUCUUAUUGGGCCUGGAUUUAUUUUCCAAGUGGAAAAUGACCCUAAACAUUCUGGGGCGAGUUGAAAAAAUAAACUGGACAGAUCUACUGUACAUUCAAAGGAAAGCCUUUGGCUUGAGUUGCAGAAGGCAUGGGAUGAAAUUAGCAUGGAAGUUCUCAGGAAAUAUAUUGACACUUUGCCAGAGAGAUGUGCUGCUGUAAUUGCUGCAAAAAGUGGACAUACCAGAUAUUAAAGUUAAAAGUGGAUUAAAACAGUGGUACUCACUUCAUCUGUUAUUUGUUGGUGCUCAGAGCAACCAUCUGCAUGUUUCAUGAACAUUAUGAAAUUAAAUCAUGUUUUGGAGGCAAAAAAAAAUCAUUUUGUCAGAUCCUAAAGGUGUUCUAAUAAUUUUGGCCACCAUUGUAUGUCCAAUAUUUAGAGUACCAUUCCUUAAAGUGUUUAAAGUGUUUUCCUCAAACUGCUGGGCUCUGCAAUAUCUGGUAAAUCAAAGUCACACUAGACGCUAUUUUCAGUGGCAAAUCAAAACACAUGUGUAUUGGGUCACUCCAGCAAUUGAGUAAACAUUUUCAUGAAGUCAGAGAACUUACAGGCGUGAAAAGAAAUGGUUUGCAGUGUAAGAGACAAAGAUGCUGUGACUUUAAGUCGAGCUAUAAAAAUACAAGACCCUGCAAUUCGAUGAGAGAUGAUAUCAUCAGGGUUUAUUUUUCCAUACUGGACAAAACUCUUAGAUCUUAGAGUCAGUGUGGUGUCUCUUUAACAGCAACACAACACUUGCUUAAAAUCAAAGUAAACACUUUAUAUCAUCUCCUGUUAUUAGCUUUUAACAGCUGUAAAUUAUGGUUAUAAGAAUAACUCUGAUAAAGUUUUUUAAAAGUUGUGUCACUGUGAAAAGUGAUUAAAAUAUGGCCUCCGACGUCCCCUAGUGGCAAUGUGACUUUUGACACUUGCUUGCAGUACAGAAUAUUUCCCACAUAUGUUUUUCCAACAUAUAUUAUAUAAAUAUAUGUUGGAAAAACUGAAUGAAAUAAUUAAAGUAAGUUUAUGAAAGAGCAGGUAACCUUCCUCAAUUUCUCUCACCUAUAAACAUUGUUUAAAACUCACAAAUCACAUAUUUUGCCAUUUUGACUUCUGCGACCUACUCCAUAUCUGUUUACACAUUUGAUCCACAUAAUAUACAUGGCUGUAAUUCUCAAGAUGUUUUCUAACCAAUUCAGAAGAACAAAUGGAGAUGUCAUACUCAGAGGAGACAUGGCUCUGAUUUUAGUGUUCUUUGUGCCAAAAAAGAAAGAAUUUUAAAUGGGACAGGUCACUUUAUAAUUUGGGACACUUGUAUUAGUCUUUUAAAAGAAGCCUUAAUCACGUUGCUUCAUGUGGGUCGAGCUCGGUUUUAGCAAUCUUUAAGCAUUGUGAAAAAUAAAGAAGAAGAUUUAAAUUAUUCAUAGAAAUGUUAUGAAUUAAUAGUGACUUCUGAAAGUCGCACUUUUUCUCUUUAGAACCCUAUCUUUAAUAAAGAAAUUAUCAAAAUCGUAUAGAAUGUUCUUUUAAAGGUGUAUCAAAUGUUUAAAUACAAUUAAAAUUCAAUCAGCAGCAAAUAACAAUAACAGCUUAUAUUUUGUUAGAAGAGGAAUUCAACAGACUUGAUCUUAGGUGUCCCUCAUUACCCGAAUUCCCCCCAUCUGUAUGCCCUUAACUGUAGUUUGGGUUUACAGCAAAUUAACAAAGUAGCUUUAUUGACAGUUGGAUAUGAAACCAGAUUAGUUCCUGAAACUUCUUCCUCACACCACAUGGCAUCCACUAAACCUGAACUCUCAGUGCUCUUUCUUAUUUUAUACUUUUCUCUCUGAUUCAGGAAGAAGGCUUUGAAGAGGCUCCCGAUUCAUUCAUUCAUUCUGAACUUUAGAAAUUUUAACAGAAGUCUUCAUUCAGGCCCCAAAACUUCCAGCAUCAAGUCUAAACAUUUUCAAACCUUAUUAUAUAUCAUCACCCUGCUGCCUAAGUUUGCUCACAAGCUUGUUUGCGCUUGUCCAAACAGUGAUUUGAUGUGUUUUGUCCAAUCGAGAGUUGAACGAAUGAGAAGUAACCUCAAAUUAAAUCAGUGUAGCAAUGGAAAUUGGUAUUUUUGAAAACAAUUUACUUGUUGAUGCACUUAACCUGGAAAGGUGCCAGAUUAGUAGAUUCUCUUUUGUAUAGUCCACAGUUAGGAAUAUUAUCUUUGAGUGUAUGGUGUGUUCCUAUGUGAAUUUUCCCCCUUUAACAGAAUAAAAAGUUCGAUCGAUCAUCCAACAUUAUUCUUAAUACAGUUGAUUGUCCCUCCAGUUAAAUCUUCAGUGUUGGUUGUGCAGCACACUCAUGGUUUGCCACAGGGUGGAGCUCUCUGCCGGGGAACCACUGUACAUACAGUGUAAGAGGACAGCUGUGUAUUUGCAGUGAAGAUGGAACUUUAGAUAGAAUCAUAUUGUUCAAGAUUCAAGAUUCAAGAUUUUUAUUGUCAAAUGCACAACAAUAACAUUAUGCAGUCGCUGGCAGUGAAAUGCUUGAGUCUCAGGCUCUCUACUAACAAUGCUCAAGUAAUUACAACAUAUACAAUAAAAUAAGAUAGAAAUAGUGUAAAAUAGAAUAACACGUGUGCGUGUACAUGCGCUGGUGGGAUGGCAGGUUUUAAAUGUUCUGGAAUUCUUUUGUAUGAUGAUAACACACAGAGCUGUGUGUAAAUGCUCUGGGGAGUUUUCAUGAAGAAGCAGACUUGACUUGUGUGAGCAGACGUGUUGGGACAGGAGCUGGUGGUCUGAGGUAUUCCUGUGAGGUGACACUCCCCUGCUUCACAUCGCCCUGUUGCAAUGUUUUUAUUCCCUGAGGCCGCACAUUUCUGCAGAAGACAACAUGUUGGAAACUAAAAACUAACUUUUUAAAAUUGUAUUUCAACACAUUAUACUUGCUUUUCAAGUAUAGGUAACACUGUAAAGGAUUGUUUUCUCUAUGUUUCAUGUUUUUACAUCAUUGGAGCUUUAAACCCUCUGUCACAUCAGCUCUAAAAGAACAACAAAGAUGUAUUUCAUUCACAGAUCUCCUCCUUCCUCAUGAUGACGGUUAUACUUUGGAAACAUAGUGGAGGUGGGAUGGGAGGUGUUUUUUUCCUCCCUCAGCCACCCACCCACACAAACACACACACACAUACUUGUCCACACUUACGUUUAUAUAGGCUGACCAUUACAGAAGUCAGGUCUCACACUGGCCACCUCCUGCCUGUGUUCAUGAACAUAUCAAUGUGUAAACAUUGUAAUGUGUAAACAGGAAUCCUGUGGCUCAUGGGUAUCUGUCAGGUUGGUUGCUGAUGAGGUUGCUAUCACUCAUGUAUACGCCCGUGAAUUGAAGCAUUGUUCUUGAUCGUUGUUUUGUUAGAUACUUGCUGUGUGUGUAAAUGGACCUAAUGGACUGUAGUUAUAUGUUCAAUCACACACCAUUCACACACUGUCGGCACAACUUCAGGGGCAAGCUGGGGUUCAGUUUGCUGUUGUGUAGGCCGGAGCAGCCAGGGAUCGUACAAUCAACCAUCUGGUGGACGACCCUCCCUAUUUCCUGCCACAGCCACCUUGUUUGUGUGUGUGUGUGUGUGUGUGUGUGUGUGUGUGUGUGUGUGGGUGUGUGUGUGUGUGUGUAUGUUUGUGUGCGUGUGUUUGUAUGUGUGUGUGUGUGUGUGUGUGUGUGCGUGCGUUUGCGUGUGUGUGUUUGUGUGCGUAUGUGUGUGUGUGAUGUUUAUUUUGUAAUGUUAAUUUGUAUCUAAGUCAAAUGUAAAGCUGUUUGACCCCAUGAAGAAUAGCGGCUGCAGUGCUAUAGCUACGAGAAACCUAAUGAGUUAAAC
Platichthys flesus (European flounder) is the source of this 6457-nucleotide long non-coding RNA. RefSeq lists it as uncharacterized. NCBI's taxonomy places the organism in Eukaryota, Metazoa, Chordata, Actinopteri, Pleuronectiformes, Pleuronectidae. The transcript is spliced from 3 exons. The record is from RefSeq and is a predicted model, not a curated record.